Molecule: ribosomal RNA, 279 nt
Filed under: uncultured bacterium
Lineage: Bacteria
Description: partial 16S ribosomal RNA
Rfam family: Bacterial small subunit ribosomal RNA
Source: RNAcentral
UGCCAGCAGCCGCGGUAAUACGGAGGGAGCUAGCGUUGUUCGGAAUUACUGGGCGUAAAGCGCACGCAGGCGGUUUGUUAAGCUAGAUGUGAAAGCCCCGGGCUCAACCUGGGAUGGUCAUUUAGAACUGGCAGACUAGAGUUUUGGAGAGGGGAGUGGAAUUCCAGGUGUAGCGGUGAAAUGCGUAGAUAUCUGGAGGAACAUCAGUGGCGAAGGCGGCUUCCUGGCCCAAUACUGACGCUGAGGUGCGAAAGCGUGGGGAGCGAACAGGAUUAGAUA